GCCCUCGUUGAUCAGUGGAGAUCGCCCACGUCGAUUGUUACAUCGAUUGCACCGGAAUCAGUGGGCGGUGGGGGUUCGACUCCCCCCGAAGGCA
Mycena vulgaris is the source of this 94-nucleotide non-coding RNA. NCBI's taxonomy places the organism in Eukaryota, Fungi, Basidiomycota, Agaricomycetes, Agaricales, Mycenaceae. The record is from the annotation of a GenBank genome assembly.